Molecule: ribosomal RNA, 497 nt
Filed under: uncultured bacterium
Lineage: Bacteria
Description: partial 16S ribosomal RNA
Rfam family: Bacterial small subunit ribosomal RNA
Source: RNAcentral
GAUGAACGCUGGCGGCGUGCCUAAUACAUGCAAGUCGAGCGAACGGACGAGAAGCUUGCUUCUCUGAUGUUAGCGGCGGACGGGUGAGUAACACGUGGAUAACCUACCUAUAAGACUGGAAUAACUGCGGGAAACCGGAGCUAAUACCGGAUAAUAUUUUGAACCGCAUGGUUCAAAAGUGAAAGACGGUCUUGCUGUCACUUAUAGAUGGAUCCGCGCUGCAUUAGCUAGUUGGUAAGGUAACGGCUUACCAAGGCAACGAUGCAUAGCCGACCUGAGCGGGUGAUCGGCCACACUGGAGCUGAGACACGGUCCAGACUCCUACGGGAGGCAGCAGUAGGGAAUCUUCCGCAGUGGGCGAAAGCCUGACGGAGCAACGCCGCGUGAGUGAUGAAGGUCUUCGGAUCGUAAAACUCUGUUAUUAGGGAAGAACAUAUGUGUAAGUAACUGUGCACAUCUUGACGGUACCUAAUCAGAAAGCCACGGCUAACUACGUG